CAAGGAAUAUAUCAAUAGGUAGAUUAUCUGCUUUGGGAGCAGGGGGUUGCGGGUUCAAAUCUCGCUUCCUUGA
This 73-nucleotide transfer RNA is filed under the name Axinella corrugata. Its description in RNAcentral is "tRNA-Pro". It matches the Rfam family "tRNA". Rfam says of the family: Transfer RNA (tRNA) molecules are approximately 80 nucleotides in length. Their secondary structure includes four short double-helical elements and three loops (D, anti-codon, and T loops). The record is from RNAcentral. Lineage: Eukaryota; Metazoa; Porifera; Demospongiae; Axinellida; Axinellidae.